GUUCUGCUAACCGCAUCACAGAGCACUAGUUGCGGAACUCUGCCGUCGGUGUGCCGAGGAAGACAACCUUGAACUUCCGCAAUCUUGUCGCCAUCCGUCCUCCUCUGCGAUCGAAGAGAAACUAUAUGAUUUUGCAAGCUACCCUUCUUAGGAGCCUGAUGAAAUGGUUUUUGUUCCCUCUUCUAUAGAGCAUGAUGAACAUUUUGUUCAGAAAUCACUUUGAAUGAUUAUUGAUUAUCUCUGUUUACUGUUGUUGUAUUCGUUCUUCUCUACUCUGAAUUUUACUGUAUUGUUGUGCUUUUUGUGCUCAUUGUUUUUAAUUCAAUGAAGUAAUAGAUGAAUUGAAUUAACUCAAUUAACUAGUUAAGUAUAUGAUCAAAUAUUUGUUAUUGGUUUGG
Molecule: non-coding RNA, 398 nt
Organism: Arachis ipaensis
Lineage: Eukaryota; Viridiplantae; Streptophyta; Magnoliopsida; Fabales; Fabaceae
Source: RefSeq, a predicted model, not a curated record